This 564-nucleotide ribosomal RNA is filed under the name Triticum aestivum (bread wheat). RNAcentral's name for it is "partial small subunit ribosomal RNA". The record is from RNAcentral. Lineage: Eukaryota; Viridiplantae; Streptophyta; Magnoliopsida; Poales; Poaceae.
AUGGAACCUAGCUAUUCUUGUAAAGAGAUUACAACAUUGGUUCUUGGGCAUGUUAGAUCAGGGUGGAAGGACAUAGUGGACACUGAAUCUUAUAGGAGGUUUAAUGAUAACAGGGGUGAGCUGACGCUCGCCAAAAAGGGAUGUUUCCAAGAACUGGGUUGGAGCAUACAUAGGCCGUUUGAUGAGAGUGUUAUUCUCUGGCACCUGGCCACAGAUUUAUGCUUUCACCAUACCAACUCUCCUUAUGAUCAUCCGUGUGCCCAUCAGUGCAAAAUAAUGUCCAACUACAUGAUGCAUCUGUUGUUUGCUAAUCCUGAGAUGCUAAUGCCAGGCAGUAGAAAGAGUUUGUUCACAAGGGCCUAUGAAGAACUCGAGAUGACCCACGAAUCCUUUGCAGAGCGACUCUUGGAUGAGAGGGAAUUUACAUGUGAAAUAUUUGGGAGAUGUAAAGCACGUAUUUUCCCCAACUCUCUUAUUCGCGACGCUUCGGAGCUUGCUAAACAAUUGUUGGAUUCUUUUCCUUGUGAUCAUAAGGAGAUGUGGGAGAUGAUCCAGGGCGUGUGA